UUACAAGGCAGUUGGCUUCUCUGAAGGUGCCUGCUCGUGGGGACAGCUUGCAAAUGUCCUGGAGCCAUGCCAGUAACAGCUCAGCGGCUUUGGGCUGUGGGAACUCCAUGUUCGUGAGGGAACAGAGGCCACUUUGAUGUAGGGAUGAACCAGGGUUGCUAGGGCUUUUGCAGCCCCAAGCAGGUGACCUCUGAGAAAAGACUGGAAGAGGGAGGAGACAUGGAGGUCCUGUGGAGCCAUGGUUGAAGGCCUGGAGCAGGAGCCUGAUGCAGGCAAAGAUCCACAAA
Long non-coding RNA from Mus musculus (house mouse), 287 nucleotides. RefSeq annotates it as predicted gene, 34964. The transcript is spliced from 2 exons. NCBI's taxonomy places the organism in Eukaryota, Metazoa, Chordata, Mammalia, Rodentia, Muridae. The record is from RefSeq and is a predicted model, not a curated record.